GCUCAGUAACACGUGGACAACCUGCCCUAAGGUGAGGGAUAACCCCGGGAAACUGGGGAUAAUACCUCAUAAUUUACAGAUGCUGGGAUGCUCUGUAGGUCAAAGGUCAGCCGCCUUAGGAUGGGUCUGCGGCCGAUUAGGUAGUUGUUGGGGUAAUGGCCCAACAAGCCUGUAAUCGGUACGGGUUGUGGGAGCAAGAGCCCGGAGAUGGAUUCUGAGACACGAAUCCAGGCCCUACGGGGCGCAGCAGGCGCGGAAACUUUACAAUGCAGGAAACUGUGAUAAGGGAACCCCGAGUGCCCGUAUGGACGGGCUGUUCAGGUGCGUAAAAAACGCCUAGAGAAAGGGCCGGGCAAGACCGGUGCCAGCCGCCGCGGUAAUACCGGCGGCUCGAGUGGUGGCCACUAUUACUGGGCUUAAAGCGUCCGUAGCUGGGUAGUUAAGUCUCUUGGGAAAUCUUCCGGCUCAACCGGAAGGCGUCUAAGGGAUACUGGCUACCUAGGGAUCGGGAGAGGUGAGAGGUACUCUGGGGGUAGGAGUGAAAUCCUGUAAUCCUCAGGGGACCACCUGUGGCGAAGGCGUCUCACCAGAACGACUCCGACAGUGAGGGACGAAAGCUGGGGGAGCAAACCGGAUUAGAUACCCGGGUAGUCCCAGCCGUAAACGAUGCGUGUUAGGUGUAUCGGUGACCACGAGUUACCGAGGUG
This 707-nucleotide ribosomal RNA is filed under the name uncultured methanogenic archaeon. Its description in RNAcentral is "bacterial SSU rRNA". It matches the Rfam family "Archaeal small subunit ribosomal RNA", at positions 88 to 800 of the family's 1478-position model. The record is from RNAcentral. Lineage: Archaea; Methanobacteriati; Methanobacteriota.